Molecule: long non-coding RNA, 1427 nt
Organism: Dendrobium catenatum
Lineage: Eukaryota; Viridiplantae; Streptophyta; Magnoliopsida; Asparagales; Orchidaceae
Exons: 4
Source: RefSeq, a predicted model, not a curated record
GGACCCAUUCGAUCAUCGCAUCACAUCAAGAUUUCGUAUGGGACAGGCACAUGCACAAACUUGUAUUCCCCUUAAAUGGUUGCGAUGGACAUUUUGGCGUGACUUCUACUUGGACCUGAAUGAUAUGGAUUUUUGGAGGCAUGUCAGGGCUUACAUAUUAUUCAUAUUGGGCUGUCACCUUCUUCCAGAUACUUCAGGUUCUGAGAUACAUUUACAAUACCUGACUAUUAUGGAGGAUUUAGCAGUAUUCAGUACAUACUCUAUCGGCGGAGCAAUUUUAGCGCAUUUGUAUAGAGAGUUGGAAGAAGCAACACGGCCUAGUAGGGCCAACAUAGCUGGAUGCAUUCAUUUGUUAUAAAUCUGGGCUUGGGAGCAUCUGCAUGUAGGACGACCACUGCUUCGUGUUCCCUUUUCAGUGGAACUUCAUGGUCUUAGUGUUGGGUUCAGGUGGAAUGAGGAUCGCCUAAGAGAGUUGCAUGUUGGAAAUAUCAUUAGCUAUAGAGAUGAGCUCGAUGGUUUACUUGAUAGUCAGGUAAUUUGGCAGCCAUAUACGCCUGAUAUUAGAGCUCAGGUGGCACAGAUUUGUCUAUCAGGGGAGGACAUUUGGACUGCACGAGUGCCUCUGAUCAGUUGAAAGAGGGUUGAGUGGCACUUGCCAGAUAGAGUACUACGACAGUUUGGAUUAUGCCCAACUACUAACAUUGAACCAAUUGAUCCAAGCUUCAAAAGGGUAGAUGGUCGUGGCAAACCAGACAUGGACUGGAUGUUGUACCACCAACCACACAUUGCCAUAUGGGAGAGUAGGCGUGGAUACAUAGUCACAGGGGACCUUCUUGACCAGCAUAAGAACUACUUGAUCCAUCAGUACAUACAGUGGUACAAGUCAUGGGCAACACUACACAUGUUGAAGGCACCUGUUGAGCCUCCCACAACGGCAUAUCCUAGAGCUCCCUCUGAGCGUCUUCUGAGGGAAUUUUUCCUUAGUACUGAACAAGCUUUGCAACAACACUUCAAUGGUUCAAAUGAUACACAAUAAUAGAGGGACAUAAACAUAGUGGCAGAGCUUUGCCGUGGUUUGCGUAGCCAGUUGUAUAUUCAAGAUCAAGGAUAUUUUGAGGAUAGAAGUGAGCAUGAUACACCAUUUUCCAUGACACAUGAACCUCCUCAGCAAUACAGUGGAUAUGCUGGACCCUCCUCUUAUCCUGAUCAAGGGCCAUCUACGGACGUCUUCAGUAGCCAGGUGCCAGCGGAUUUGGAUGCAUACCUCACACCGGAUUUUGUACCGAGCUCCCUUCAUAGAGAUGACAUAGCUGAGGAAGAAGUUGCUGAGGAGGAGCAUCACAUGCUACGUCAAAGGCCACGACGUCCUCCUCAACAUUACACUCCAGGCACUGAUGCAUUACCACAGAGGCCGCGUAGGCGACGCU